RNAcentral lists this ribosomal RNA (253 nucleotides) under uncultured bacterium. RNAcentral's name for it is "partial 16S ribosomal RNA". It matches the Rfam family "Bacterial small subunit ribosomal RNA", at positions 524 to 776 of the family's 1533-position model. The record is from RNAcentral.
UACGUAGGGUGCGAGCGUUAAUCGGAAUUACUGGGCGUAAAGCGUGCGCAGGCGGUGAUGUAAGACCGAUGUGAAAUCCCCGGGCUUAACCUGGGAACUGCAUUGGUGACUGCAUCGCUCGAGUAUGGCAGAGGGGGGUAGAAUUCCACGUGUAGCAGUGAAAUGCGUAGAGAUGUGGAGGAAUACCGAUGGCGAAGGCAGCCCCCUGGGUCAAUACUGACGCUCAUGCACGAAAGCGUGGGGAGCAAACAGA